RNAcentral lists this transfer RNA (72 nucleotides) under Camelus bactrianus (Bactrian camel). It matches the Rfam family "tRNA". From Rfam's summary of the family: Transfer RNA (tRNA) molecules are approximately 80 nucleotides in length. Lineage: Eukaryota; Metazoa; Chordata; Mammalia; Artiodactyla; Camelidae. RNAcentral also lists the same sequence under 3 other names. The record is from Rfam by way of RNAcentral.
GUAUAUAUAGUUCAGUGGUAGAACGCAUGCUUAACAUGCAUGAGGGCCUGGGUUCAAUCCCCAUUGCCUCCA